AUUGAACGCUGGCGGCAGGCCUAACACAUGCAAGUCGAGCGGAGCGUCGGACGGGUGUGUAUUGUCUGGGAAACUGCCUCAUGGAGGGGGAUAACUCCUGGAAACGGUAUCUCAUAUCGCAUACCAUCUGAUGUGUCCCGAUGGGAUUAGCUCGUGGGUGGGGUAAAGGCCUACCAAGGCGACGCUCCGUAACUGGUCUGAGAGGAGGAUCAGUCACACUGGAACUGAGACACGGUCCAGACUCCUACGGGAGGCAGCAGUGGGGAAUAUUGGACAAUGGGCGAAAGCCUGAUGCAGCCAUGCCGCGUGUAUGAAGAAGGUCUUCGGGUUGUAAAGCACUUUAAGUUGGGAGGCGUUACCAACAGAAGAAGCACCGGCUAACUUCGUGCCAGCAGCCGCGGUAAUAC
RNAcentral lists this ribosomal RNA (407 nucleotides) under uncultured bacterium. RNAcentral's name for it is "partial 16S ribosomal RNA". It matches the Rfam family "Bacterial small subunit ribosomal RNA", at positions 30 to 526 of the family's 1533-position model. The record is from RNAcentral.